This is a non-coding RNA of Phaseolus vulgaris (common bean), 86 nucleotides long. NCBI's taxonomy places the organism in Eukaryota, Viridiplantae, Streptophyta, Magnoliopsida, Fabales, Fabaceae. The record is from Rfam.
UAGCUAUGAUGAAACUGUGUCCACAGUGAUGGAUGGGUCUAUCACACUCCUCUGAUCUUCAGAAGAUUCGUGAGACAUCUGAGCUU